GACGAACGCUGGCGGCGUGCUUAACACAUGCAAGUCGAACGGAAAGGCCCUGCUUUUGUGGGGUGCUCGAGUGGCGAACGGGUGAGUAACACGUGAGUAACCUGCCCUUGACUUUGGGAUAACUUCAGGAAACUGGGGCUAAUACCGGAUAGGAGCUCCUGCUGCAUGGUGGGGGUUGGAAAGUUUCGGCGGUUGGGGAUGGACUCGCGGCUUAUCCGCUUGUUGGUGGGGUAGUGGCUUACCAAGGCUUUGACGGGUAGCCGGCCUGAGAGGGUGACCGGCCACAUUGGGACUGAGAUACGGACCAGACUCCUACGGGAGGCAGCAGUGGGGAAUAUUGCACAAUGGGCGGAAGCCUGAUGCAGCAACGCUGCGUGCGGGAUGACGGCCUUCGGGUUGUAAACCGCUUUCGCCUGUGACGAAGCGUGAGUGACGGUAAUGGGUAAAGAAGCACCGGCUAACUACGUG
RNAcentral lists this ribosomal RNA (468 nucleotides) under uncultured bacterium. RNAcentral describes it as "partial 16S ribosomal RNA". It matches the Rfam family "Bacterial small subunit ribosomal RNA", at positions 28 to 507 of the family's 1533-position model. The record is from RNAcentral.